UUGGAACUUGUCGCCCGCAUUUCUACAAAUACCAGGAACUUUGGGAAAUUUCAAUUUUACAAUCAAUAAAAGUUCAACAAUGACAAAUAUAGACCUCUUGCUCUUUAUGACUGGACUUCUGUUUAUUAUGUUUCUCUGCGUCACAGAUGUCAAUGCGCCACCACCCGCAGGCUUUGUUCAUACAGAUAUUACGCUUAGCUCUGACGAUUUUGACGGAGGGUGAACCUCGACUUCUUUCAUAUUUCUUCAUUCAUCAUGUUAUGUCAUCUAACAAAUGAAUUAGCAUUAUAUAUAUAUAUAUGGCACUAUAUAUCAGCAAUAUAUUAUUUACCAAUUGUUGUUAAUAUAUAAAAUUGCAAACAAAUAAUAUAUUAUGCCGAUAUUUUGAAGUAACGACGUUUAAAAAAAACUAUUUCUCAUAAUAGUAAGCA
Styela clava is the source of this 431-nucleotide non-coding RNA. The record is from RefSeq and is a predicted model, not a curated record. Lineage: Eukaryota; Metazoa; Chordata; Ascidiacea; Stolidobranchia; Styelidae.